GGCCGCUGCCCAGAUCCUUGGGCGUUUCCUCCCUAGACUUAGGGCCGUGUCAGUCUGCUGGCGCGGCCUUUUUUUUGCGCCGG
This 83-nucleotide small RNA is filed under the name Tistrella mobilis KA081020-065. RNAcentral's name for it is "Makes More Granules Regulator RNA (mmgR)". It matches the Rfam family "Makes More Granules Regulator RNA (mmgR)". From Rfam's summary of the family: SuhB later renamed mmgR (makes more granules regulator) was a putative non-coding RNA found multiple times in the Agrobacterium tumefaciens genome and related alpha-proteobacteria. Other non-coding RNAs uncovered in the same analysis include: speF, ybhL, metA, and serC. The record is from Rfam by way of RNAcentral. Lineage: Bacteria; Pseudomonadati; Pseudomonadota; Alphaproteobacteria; Geminicoccales; Geminicoccaceae.